UACCACGAGCGUCCGAGCGGGGGGAGCC
RNAcentral lists this small RNA (28 nucleotides) under Bombyx mori (domestic silkworm). RNAcentral describes it as "ovarian small RNA-6010". Lineage: Eukaryota; Metazoa; Arthropoda; Insecta; Lepidoptera; Bombycidae. The record is from RNAcentral.